GCCCGCACAAGCGGCGGAGCAUGUGGAUUAAUUCGAUGCAACGCGAAGAACCUUACCUGGGUUUGACAUGCACAGGAUCGCGGCAGAGAUGUCGUUUCCCUUGUGGCCUGUGUGCAGGUGGUGCAUGGCUGUCGUCAGCUCGUGUCGUGAGAUGUUGGGUUAAGUCCCGCAACGAGCGCAACCCUUGUUCCAUGUUGCCAGCACGUGAUGGUGGGGACUCAUGGGAGACUGCCGGGGUCAACUCGGAGGA
This 250-nucleotide ribosomal RNA is filed under the name uncultured Pseudonocardia sp. Its description in RNAcentral is "partial 16S ribosomal RNA". It matches the Rfam family "Bacterial small subunit ribosomal RNA", at positions 919 to 1170 of the family's 1533-position model. The record is from RNAcentral. Lineage: Bacteria; Bacillati; Actinomycetota; Actinomycetes; Pseudonocardiales; Pseudonocardiaceae.